Long non-coding RNA from Bombus terrestris (buff-tailed bumblebee), 6656 nucleotides. RefSeq lists it as uncharacterized. The record is from RefSeq and is a predicted model, not a curated record. Lineage: Eukaryota; Metazoa; Arthropoda; Insecta; Hymenoptera; Apidae. The transcript is spliced from 2 exons.
AUAGGGAAAAAAACCUAUGUGACUAAAGUCACCUAGUUCUUGCGGAGCGUUAACAGGACGGUUUGAAUCUAAAAAAAGUUGUUAUUGGUCGAGGAGCGUUGGACGGUUGAUCGAGAAGGAGAGUGAGUCGAGAGGUCAGAGUUAAUCGAGGAGUCGAAGAGUAAAGUGGUUAGCGCUAUCGAGUUGCGAGAGGUGUUAGCGUUGUUGAGAGUGGAGUUGUAGCAUUGUCGAAUUGCGGUAGAAAAAGAUAAAAUGGCAAACGUUGAGGACGAACGAUUGUCGGGUAAAGAGGGUUCGAUGCUGGAGGAGCUGAGAAGUAGGCUUGCACGUUUGAAUCUGCUGAUAUCUGGUUCGAAAUCAGUGCUGAUGGCCAGGCUGAACCGAGCGUGUAAGACUGGACAAUCGACUUCAAAGGGAUCGAAGCGCGAUGAAGAAUCAACAAACCAGCGAGACCUAAGGAGCGAGCAGAGAGCUGAGCGCAAUCAAGAUGGAGACGAAGACCUCGAGAAGCUGAGGACGAAGGAGUUGAGAGCGCGCCUCGCUAGCUUGGGGUUAAAGGUCACAGGGAGAAAAUCCGAAUUACGCGCAUGGCUACAGGCGGCCCUGGAAGGGAACAAUAUAUCGUCGGAAGAAGAGAGCGACGACAAAAGUGACGAUGAAGAAGAUAGGAAAGAGGUAAUAAAACAUAAGAGAGGUAUGCGAGCGAUGUGCUCGGACCGCGAUGAAUAUCGCCAAAAGGCAUGCACCGUCUCGGUAUUAAGCUUUAAAGAUGUCGAAGACGCACUAGAAUUGUUUAGCGGCGACAAAGGUGAAAACGUGGAGCGAUGAUUCGAAUCAUUCGAAGAAGUCGCGGACACGUGCAUGUGGUCGGACGGUCAGAAGGCAGUCUACGCGAGGAAGCUGCUGAGGGGAUCGGCGAAAAUAUUCGUCAGCUUCGAGUGCCAUGCCAGGACUUGGCAUGAGCUGAAGAAGGGACUAAUCAGAGAGUUCUUCAGAAAGUCCAACAGUAGGCAAGUACAUCAAAAGCUUAGAGAGACGAGAAAGAAAAGCGACGAGGCGUGUUUGGCCUACAUGUAUCGCAUGCUGGAAAUAGCCAAUCAUGCCGAUAUAGAGGAAGAAGCCAAAGUAGAAUACAUCAUAGACGGGAUAAUAGACGAAGAAGUUCAUAAGUCUAUGCUGUAUGGUGCUGCAUCCAUCAAGGAGUUAAGAAAGAGGCUAAUCGCGUACGAGGAGCAGAAGAGCCGAAGGACGAAGUCGAUUGCGAAGCCGGCCAGAGUUGAGAAAAACAAGAGUCCCAGCCAAUCUGGUACGAAGAAGACGCGAUGCUACAACUGCGACGAUGAAGAACACGUGUGAGCAGAGUGUCCGAACAAGUCGAGGGGACCUAAAUGUUUUAAAUGUAGAGGGUACGGACACAUCGCAUCGAGGUGCGGCGAUUUAGGUAAGUCAUCUAAAAAAGUUUACAAUGCGCGGAAAUUGCUGCAGGCGCGGUGUAAAAGUGUCGGAAUUGGAAAUUUCGAACUGAGCGCGCUAAUAGACACCGGUAGCGAAUUAACUUUGAUGCGGACAGAUCAGUAUAUAAGAAUCGGAGCGCCGAAGUUAAAUCGAGACAUUGUUGAAUUUCACAGUAUCGGGUCUAAGAGAAAUUUUACGCUCGGGAAAUUUUCAACAAAUAUCGUUAUAGACGGUGUGUCGUAUGGUAUAACGAUACACGUAGUUCCGAACACUAUGAUGCAACGCUCGUUGUUAAUAGGCACAGACUUCCUAGAUACCGUCGAGAUAAACAUGAAGGGUGCAGAUAUCUCCAUUCGUAAAAUAAAGGACGAAAAUUUCGAUGGGUUUCCGGAGGUCCUUAAAAUAGACAUAGAGACGGAAGCGCGUGAGGUGGAUUUAUCUCAUGUCGACAACGUGCAACAUAAGUAGACAAUAGAAAAUUUGAUCCGAGGUUAUAGGCCACAGAAAACGCGCGAAGUAGGAAUCAAGAUGAACAUAAUACUGCAGGACGAUAUUCCAAUUUACGAAAGGCCGCGAAGACUAUCUCCGCAAGACAAGGUCGAAGUCGAUAAACAGAUCAAAACGUGGCUGGAGGACGGAAUAAUACGCCAGUCACAUUCCGUCUACGCCAGUCCAAUCGUUUUGGUAAAAAAAAAGGACGGCUCGACUAGAAUUUGCGUCGACUAUAGAUAGCUAAAUGGAAAGGUAGUAAAAGACUGCCCUUGAUCGAAGACCAAUUAGAUUCGUUACAAGGCUCGAGGGUAUUUAGUACGUUGGAUCUUUGGAACGGAUUUUUUCAUGUUCCUGUUGGGGAGAGUAGCAGAAAGUAUAAGGCGUUCGUAGUCCCCACAGGCUAGUAUGAAUUUAUUAAAAUGCUGUUUGGUCUAUGCAAUUCGCCGGCUGUUUUUCAAAAAUUCAUAAAUGCCGUUUUUAAAGAAUUGAUCGCGACAGGGGUGGUGCUGACGUACAUGGACGAUCUGAUUGUGCCGUCGACUGACCUCUCGAGCGGAAGAAAAACUGAAAACAGUAUUGCAUGUCGCUAGCGAACACAGACUACUCGUAAACUGGAGUAAGUGUCGAUUUCUGCAAACGAGAAUAGAGUAUUUGGGCUACAUCGUCGAGGGCGGUAACAUUCAGCCAUCUGAAUGCAAAACCAGGGCCGUCGCUAAUUUGCCGGAGCCCCAAUCUGCUAAGGAUGUUCAAAGUUUCCUGGGCCUAGCGGGAUAUUUUAGGAAGUUUGUGCCCCGAUACUCUGACAUCGCGAGACCAUUAUCAGAUUUACUGAGAAAAGAUGUCCCAUUCAGAUUCGAGUCGCGCGAGCGGGAAGCGUUUGGAAGUCUAAAAGUGGCGUUAAGUGAGAAGCCAGUAUUAAAAUUGUAUCGUGUUGGAGCGGAGACUCAGUUGCAUACGGAUGCGUGCAGCGUGGCAUAUGGUGCGAUCUUGAUGCAGCGCGACAGCGGGGACAAUGUUUUUCACCCCGUAUACUAUUCGAGCGGAAAGAUCUCACCGGCUGAAGAGAAGUACACCAGUUACGAACUUGAGGUUCUGGCCAUCGCGAAAGCACUGAAGAAAUUCCGUGUCUAUUUACUAGGCAUCCCGUUUAAAAUCAUUACACGUUGUCGGGCGUUCGCAUUGACGAUGCGGAAAAAGGACUUGUGCGUACGUGUUGCGAGGUGGGCGAUCCUCCUAGAGGAGUUCGAUUACAAGGUGGAGCAUAGACCCGGGAACAGUAUGAUACAUGUCGAUGCGUUGAGUCGAAAUACCCUACCCGAGGUCAUGCUAAUAGACGAGGACGAACGAGGGAUGUUUGUACGGUUGAGAGAAGCUUAGUUGCAAGAGAACAACCUGCGGCAGAUCCGAGAAAAUAUCGAACAGCAUGAAGCCGACGGGUACGCCCUAAAGAACGGGGUUUUAUAUCGAGAAAUAAAAGACGCAUCGCUAUUGGUCGUGCCAAAGUCGAUGCAAACUCAAAUAGUUCGACGAGCUCAUGAACGUGGCCACUUCGGCAUCACCAUGCGUGAGAAAGUAGAAAAAAUGGUGCAGAGCUGCAUCGACCGUAUCCUUGAGGAGAGAAAGAAAGGGACGAAGGAGGGAUUGUUGAACGACAUCGAAAAAGGGAAGUUGCCGCUCGACACCUAUCAUGUCGAUCAUAUUGGGCCAUUACCCACUACGAAGAAAAGCUACCGGUAUAUCUUUGUGGUAGCUGACGCUUUCACCAAGUUCGUCUGGCUGUACCCUACCAAAUCAACGGGUUCUGCAGAAAUUAUCAGUCGUUUGGAGAAGCAGUCUGUGUGUUUUGGGAAUCCACAAAGAAUUAUUUCCGAUCGUGGGACGGCGUUUACAGCUGGUGUCUUUGAGAAUUAUUGCAAUAAGAAAUGUAUAGAGCAUGUAUGGAUUACGACUGGAAUUCGGCGGGCCAACGGUCAGGUAGAAAGGGUGAAUGGGAUGCUUGUCCCAUUGUUGGAGAAGUUAUCUGCACCAACACCAGGCGAGUGGUUCAGACACCUGGAGAAAGCGCAGAGAUACCUAAAUGCAACUCCCAGCAGAAGCACCAAUGUUACUCCGUUGCAGUUGUUGUUUGGAACGCAGAUGAGAACGCAGGACGAUCCGCAGAUCAGGUAGCUGGUUGAAGACAAAUGGGCCAAUGUUCCAAGAAGAGCAGGAUCAAUUGCGCGGAAUAGCAAGGGGACGGUUCGAGGAGAUCCAAAUCCAAAACAAGCGAACGUUCAGCAAGAGGCGCAGGAAGGCAACGAUAUAUAAGACGGGGGAUCUGGUGGCGAUCGAGAGGACGCAGGGCGGUCCUGGGUUAAAGCUGCAUUCGAAGUUCCUCGGACCGUACCGCGUGGUAAAAGUCCUGCGGAAUAACCGCUACAUAGUGCAACGAGAAGGCGAACACGAGGGGCCGCGUACAACUUCCACUGCAACCGACCACAUGAAGUGGUCGAACGUUGUUGUUAGUGAUGUAAGUGAGACCAGUGAUGAUGAGCACAUCUGAGCGCAGAUGUGAUUGUCAGGAAUGGCAGAAUGUAGUAUCGUGAGGAAAAAGCUUGGUUAGAAACUGACCAAAACAAAGUCGCCUGUUUUUCGGUCGUUAGUUUACACAGGGAAAAAAAACCUAUGUGACUAAAGUCACCUAGUUCUUGCGGAACGUUAACAGGACGGUUUGAAUCUAAAAAAAGUUGUUAUUGGUCGAAGAGCGUUGGACAGUUGAUCGAGAAGGAGAGUGAAUCGAGAGGUCAAAGUUAAUCCAGGAGUCGGAGAGUAGAGUGGUUAGCGUUGUCGAGUUCCGUGAGUUACUAGCGUAGCUGAGAGAUUGAGUUGUUGGCAUUGUUCAGUUGAGAGAGUGGUCGAAUUCGAGUGAGAUUGUUACUUUUAGUUCCAUAUUAAACAAUCAUCGUUCUCUGUCUCAUUAAUAUCUAUAUAAUUAAUUUAUUGUAAAUAAAUUACAAAUAAUAAAUAGUAUCAGAAAAAAAUUUAUAUCUAAAUUUCCGCGAUACUACAAUAAUAAUAUUAUAUUAUAUUAAAAACAAUAUGUAACAUAUAGAUAUAGAGAGAUAUCCAUAUAAUAUAUAGUAAAGUAUAUUAUCGCUAUUGUUUUAGGAGGUUGUUACAGGUUUAUAUUAAACUAAUCAUUUCUCGAAUCAAAUACUUGUAUACUCUUCUGUAGAGAAUCAAAAACUGCAUCGAAUCGCGUCUAAAGAAAUGUAUCGUAUCAUUUACAAAAACAAAGACAUCACCCUCGAGUCUCGGAGGUGCAUCCACCUAGAAAAGAACUGCGACUAUGAGUCAGAUAGCUGUCUCGAAAUAGGACAAAUUCUAUCUGAAAAACUUUUUCCGAAUAACGUACAGCUUGUAUUUUACGAGAUUAUUUAUCGUAAUUCCAUGUCAUUUUUAUACGACAUUAUUUUAUAUUUUACUAGAUAAUUCUAUAAAAAAUUAUGCAAUUUUUUCAUUUCAUAUUUUGUAUAUUAUAGUGAUCCGAGUCUGUUUCGGAAUUGUAGCAAAUUAUUCUUACAAGAUAGUGAAAUAUUGUAAGAAUGCGGAUCAGCAUGUUAAAAAGAGCAUCUAAUAAUGACAUAUUUAUUUUAACGAAAAACAACAAUUGAUAUCUGACACUGGCGUAUCAAAAACAGGCUAUAUAUUCUGUCUUUAUAUAUUGUUAACACUGUUAUAAAGUAUUGCGAGGAAAAGAAAAGUGUGAAACAAGGCGAAUAAAAAAAUCUGUUUAGUUCAAAUGGUGACCGAAAAACAAUCGAGGUCGCCACUGUAGCUAUAUAAAAAGGGGCCCGAUUCCCGGCGGAGCCAGAGCAUCGUCUGACGUAGACACGUAAACUACGCAGAUCGGUGCAGUCCAAUAUUGAAAUUCGAAAUUUUUUUGAAGACUUGCGGAACAUGGAGAUCUUACAACAUACGAACGAUCGGUUCCAAGAAGGGGUUCUUGUCCAGGUGGUACGAGUCGAAUCACUUACCACCAUGUGGGUCCGUUUGGUUGGAUGGCCCAAGAUAACCCAAACGCUCAAUCUGGAGAUGCUGCAGCAUCCCAUGAAAAACUUGCCAAAGGCGAAAAGUUUGAGGCCAGGCAUGCUCGUUGCCGUGCUGGCAAAUUUUGAAAGUUCUACUUUCUGAGACAGAGCUAUACUUUUACAACAAACGACGACGGGUUACACCGUCUUUUUAAUCGACUGGGGGAUAGAAACCUACCAAACCCUCAGUUCGAUCCGUUUGCUGCCACGCAAAUUUGCAUCGAUGGCACCAUGCGCCAAGAAGAUCCGCCUGCUAGGCGUGCAGGAGCAAGCGGAGGAAGCACUGAAACACCGUGUGGCGCAAGUUACAAUGUUGAAACGGACAGGAUGCCUGAUGAGCAUCAACUCUUCUCCAGGAGAAGAAUUGACAGCGAGGUUACUGUUGGACUGGGAGUCGGGAGAAUCGCCCAGAGACAUGGGAGCACAUUGGUUGAAACUGGGAUACCUCGAUCCCCAAUAAUCGAUACUCCUGCCAGACUCUUUUUUUCUAUGUAUAGUAAUUCUUGUAUGUAUGGUUUUGUAUGUAUGGUUCUAUGUACAGUUUUAUGUGGAUAUUUAUAUUUUUCUAUAUAUAUUAGUACUCAAUUCUAUAGUCAUAGUUAAGACUGUUAGUGAAUAAAAACUAAUGAAAGCUUAAAA